AUGGGGGUCGUGGGGACGCGGGGGGCGCCUGCGGGGAGCGGCGAGGGAGGGGCGGCGACGGCGUGUCCGUGUGCGUGUUGGUGUGCGUGUGCGCGCAGGGCUGAGCGGGCGUGCAAGGGAUGUGCGCGCCCAGGUGUGUGUGCGGGUGUGCAAGGGAUGUGCGUGCCCAGGUGUGUGUGCGUGUGUGCGAGGGAUGUGCGUGCCCAGGUGUGUGUGCGGGUGUGCGAGGGAUGUGCGUGUGCUGCUCGGUGUGUGCGGGUGUGCAAGGGAUGUGCAUGUCCAGAUGUGUUUGUGCAAGCAUUCAAGGGAUGUGCGUGUGCGUGCCCAGGUGUGUGUGCGAGUGUGCAAAGGAUGUGCCUGUGCUGCUCGGUGUGUGUGCGUGGGCAAGGGAUGUUCGUGCCCAGAUGUGUAUGCGUGCGUGCAAGGGAUGUGCGUGUGUGUAAGGAAUGUGCGUGUGCAGAUGUGUCUGUGUGUGUACAGGGGAUGUGCAUGUGCAUGCCGAGAUGUGUGUGCGAGUGUGCAAGGGAUGUGCGUGUGCAUGCCCAGGUGUGUGUGUGUGCGCAAGGGAUGUGCAUGUGCUGCUCAGUGUGUGCGUGUGUGCAAGGGAUGUGUGUUCCCAGAUGUGUGUGCAAGCCUGCAAGGGAUGUGCGUGUGCAUGCUAGAUGUGUGAGCACGUGUGCAAGGGAUGUGUGUGUGUGUAAGGAAUGUGCGUGUGCAGAUGUGUCUGCGUGUGUACAGGGGAUGUGCAUGUGCAUGCCCAGAUGUGCGCGCGGGCGUGCAAGGGACGUGCGUGUCCGGCUCAGUGUGCUUGUGCAGAUGUGUGUGCAGGGCUGUGUGUCCGUGCAGACACGUGUGCAUGCAGGUGUGUGUGUGCAUGUGAAGGUGUGUGCAUGCAGCUGCAGGGGACACGUGCAGGCACACGGAUGUGCAGGUGUGUGCAGGUGUGUGCACGCAGUGUGGUGCCCGUGUUUGUGGGGCCUGGAGCUGGGUGCUGCAUGUGUGGGAAUGCACAAGUGCACAGCGGUGCACAGUGUGUGCGAAGGGAUGCAGGCAUGCACAGGGGUGCACUCUGUGUGUGUGUGUGCACGGCAUUGCACGUGGGGAUGCAUGAGUGCAUGGGUGUGCACACACGGACACCGUUGGGGGUGCAUGCUUGCAAAGGUGUGUGUGCAUGCACACGGUGGGGAUGCAUGCUUGCAGAGGUGUGUGUGCAUGCAGACUUGCAUGGGACAGGGUGUGCAUCCACCAGGGCACGUGGGGGUGACUGUGUGUGCCAUGUGUGCACCGCUGCAGCACACAUGCACCUGUGUGCAGACACUCUGUGCACACAUGCACUGCUCCGUGUGUGUGCUUUGCAUCUCUCUGUGCAUGGCAUGCACGUUCACAGGGAGCACCGGGCCCUGUCCUGUGUGUGUGUGUGUGAGUGCUGCAGGUGUGUGCAGGGCUGGGCUCACCUGCAAAUGCACACGUGCAGGGUGUGCAUGCUCAGGGCGUGUGCUGCAGGGCUGGGGGCACCCGACAGGGCACACGGCUGUGACCCAACACCCUUUCAGGGCAGGUUUUACCCAGAGCUGUGACAUUUGUGCUCCCCUCCCCAGGGAAGCAGGGCCAGGCCUGGGGUGCUGCCACCCCUGCUGGGCUGCUCCUGGCUUACUACUGAGUUACUCCUUGCUUCCUCUGAGGCUGCUGCCGAGAUGCUGCUGGGAUAUUCUCAGUAAUUCCUGA
RNAcentral lists this long non-coding RNA (1725 nucleotides) under Taeniopygia guttata (zebra finch). RNAcentral describes it as "lncRNA (ENSTGUG00000026194.1)". Lineage: Eukaryota; Metazoa; Chordata; Aves; Passeriformes; Estrildidae. The record is from RNAcentral.